CCAGAGAAUUUAGCAGAGAUGCUUUAGUGCCUUCGGGAACUCUGAGACAGGUGCUGCAUGGCUGUCGUCAGCUCGUGUUGUGAAAUGUUGGGUUAAGUCCCGCAACGAGCGCAACCCUUAUCCUUUGUUGCCAGCACGUAAUGGUGGGAACUCAAAGGAGACUGCCGGUGAUAAACCGGAGGAAGGUGGAGAUGACGUCAAGUCAUCAUGGCCCUUACGAGUAGGGCUACACACGUGCUACAAUGGCGCAUACAAAGAGAAGCGACCUCGCGAGAGCAAGCGGACCUCAUAAAGUGCGUCGUAGUCCGGAUUGGAGUCUGCAACUCGACUCCAUGAAGUCGGAAUCGCUAGUAAUCGUAAAUCAGAAUGUUACGGUGAAUACGUUCCCGGGCCUUGUACACACCGCCCGUCACACCAUGGGAGUGGGUUGCAAAAGAAGUAGAUAGCUUAACCUUCGGGAGGGCGUUUACCACUUUGUGAUUCAUGACUGGGGUGAAGUCGUAACAAGGUAAGCGUAGUGCU
RNAcentral lists this ribosomal RNA (522 nucleotides) under uncultured bacterium. RNAcentral describes it as "bacterial SSU rRNA". It matches the Rfam family "Bacterial small subunit ribosomal RNA", at positions 988 to 1509 of the family's 1533-position model. The record is from RNAcentral.